ACUCCUACGGGAGGCAGCAGUAGGAAUUUUCCGCAAUGGACGAAAGUCUGACGGAGCAAUGCCGCGUGAGUGAUGAAGGUUUUCGAAUCGUAAAGCUCUGUUGUAAGGGAAGAAUAGCAAGAAUAGGAAAUGAUUCUUGUCUGACGGUACCUUACCAGAAAGCCACGGCUAACUACGUGCCAGCAGCCGCGGUAAUACGUAGGUGGCAAGCGUUAUCCGGAAUCAUUGGGUUUAAAGGGUCCGUAGGUGGAUGAUUAAGUCAGAGGUGAAAUCCUGCAGCUCAACUGUAGAAUUGCCUUUGAUACUGGUUGUCUUGAAUUAUUGUGAAGUAGUUAGAAUAUGUGGUGUAGCGGUGAAAUGCAUAGAUAUCACAUAGAAUACCGAUUGCGAAGGCAGAUUACUAACAAUACAUUGACACUGAUGGACGAAAGCGUGGGGAGCGAACAGGAUUAGAUACCCUGGUAGGCUGCUG
Molecule: ribosomal RNA, 472 nt
Filed under: uncultured bacterium
Lineage: Bacteria
Description: bacterial SSU rRNA
Rfam family: Bacterial small subunit ribosomal RNA
Source: RNAcentral